GAUGAACGCUGGCGGCAGGCUUAACACAUGCAAGUCGAGGGGAAAGGACGGGGUAGCUUGCUUCCCCGGGGGUCGACCGGCGAACGGGUGAGUUACGCGUAUCCAACAUGCCUCUGAAUGAGGGAUAACACGCCGAAAGUCGGCCUGAUACCGCAUGGCAUCGUCUGCGGGCGUCCAACGACGUUUAAAGAUUUCAUCGGUCACAGAAGGGGAUGCGUCUGAUUAGCUUGUUGGCGGGGUAACGGCUCACCAAGGCGACGCUCAGUAGGGGUUCUGCGAGGAGGCGCCCCCACAAUGGGACUGUCACCCGGUCCAAGCCCCUACGGCAGGCAGGAGUGCGGAAGGUUGCAGAAGGGGCGAGUGCCCGAACCUGCCAAGUAGCGUGCAGGAUCACGGCCGUAUGGAUGGUGAACUGCUUUUAGGCGGGGAUAAAGUGAGGGGCGGGAGCUUCAGUGCCGGUACCGGAUGAAUAAGCACCGGCUAACUCCGUG
This 491-nucleotide ribosomal RNA is filed under the name uncultured bacterium. RNAcentral describes it as "partial 16S ribosomal RNA". It matches the Rfam family "Bacterial small subunit ribosomal RNA", at positions 28 to 507 of the family's 1533-position model. The record is from RNAcentral.